RNAcentral lists this ribosomal RNA (253 nucleotides) under uncultured bacterium. RNAcentral describes it as "partial 16S ribosomal RNA". It matches the Rfam family "Bacterial small subunit ribosomal RNA", at positions 524 to 776 of the family's 1533-position model. The record is from RNAcentral.
UACGUAGGGUGCAAGCGUUGUCCGGAAUUAUUGGGCGUAAAGAGCUCGUAGGCGGUCUGUCACGUCGGGAGUGAAAACCUGGGGCUUAACCCCGGGCCUGCUUUCGAUACUGGCAGACUAGAGUGCUGUAGGGGAGACUGGAAUUCCUGGUGUAGCGGUGAAAUGCGCAGAUAUCAGGAGGAACACCGGUGGCGAAGGCGGGUCUCUGGGCAGUAACUGACGCUGAGGAGCGAAAGCGUGGGGAGCGAACAGG